CGAGUGAACCGGGAAGAGCUCAAAUUUGAAAUCUGGCGUGCUCAGUGCGUCCGAGUUGUAAUCUAUAGAGUCGUUUUCCGUGCCGGACUGUGUCCAAGUCCCUUGGAACAGGGUAUCAAAGAGGGUGAUAAUCCCGUACUUGACACAAUGACCGGUGCUCUGUGAUACGUCUUCUACGAGUCGAGUUGUUUGGGAAUGCAGCUCAAAAUGGGUGGUGAGUUCCAUCUAAAGCUAAAUAUUGGCGAGAGACCGAUAGCGAACAAGUACCGUGAGGGAAAGAUGAAAAGCACUUUGGAAAGAGAGUUAAACAGUACGUGAAAUUGUUAAAAGGGAAACGAUUGAAGUCAGUCGUGACUGAGAGGCUCAGCCGGUUCUGCCGGUGUAUUCCCCUCAGUCGGGUCAACAUCAGUUUUGUUCGGUGGAUAAGGGCAGUUGGAAGGUGGCACCCUCGGGUGUGUUAUAGCCAGCUGUCGCAUACAUCGGAUGAGACUGAGGAAUGCAGCUCGCCUUUAUGGCCGGGGUUCGCCCACGUUCGAGCUUAGG
Molecule: ribosomal RNA, 543 nt
Filed under: Papiliotrema flavescens
Lineage: Eukaryota; Fungi; Basidiomycota; Tremellomycetes; Tremellales; Rhynchogastremaceae
Description: LSU rRNA
Rfam family: Eukaryotic large subunit ribosomal RNA
Source: RNAcentral